UACGGAGGGAGCUAGCGUUAUUCGGAAUUACUGGGCGUAAAGCGCACGUAGGCGGCUUUGUAAGUAAGAGGUGAAAGCCCAGAGCUCAACUCUGGAAUUGCCUUUUAGACUGCAUCGCUUGAAUCAUGGAGAGGUCAGUGGAAUUCCGAGUGUAGAGGUGAAAUUCGUAGAUAUCGGGAGGAACACCAGUGGCGAAGGCGGAGACCUGGGCCAAUACUGACGCUGAGGUGCGAAAGCGUGGGGAGCAAACAGG
This 253-nucleotide ribosomal RNA is filed under the name uncultured bacterium. RNAcentral's name for it is "partial 16S ribosomal RNA". It matches the Rfam family "Bacterial small subunit ribosomal RNA", at positions 524 to 776 of the family's 1533-position model. The record is from RNAcentral.